UAAACCGAAAUCUGCUCACCCCUAGUUAAUAGGACGAAAUACAGGUAAACUUGUGUAGGCUAGGUAGUAAAACUUGGUGGCGGCAAGGGUCUUGCCUAGGUUUAAAAUUUCCUUAAUUUGGCUUAGGAUCAAACUUGUCACAAUAAAAGAAAUUAUCGUUGAAUGAACCAGAUAUCAUAAUAAAUUAUCAUGUAUCUUCCUCUUUCAUUCUAUUUUCCUUACAAGUUGUAUUUCCUUCCCAAUAAUGUUUUCCCACUCUUUGUUUUAUUCUAUGUCCGUGCAUACUUGUCAAGUGCAAGUGCACUUAGCUAUUAUUUGACAUUGUAAAGUUCAUGCUAGAUGUUGUUAAGUGUGUUUUAUUUUUG
RNAcentral lists this unclassified non-coding RNA (365 nucleotides) under Hevea brasiliensis (rubber tree). Lineage: Eukaryota; Viridiplantae; Streptophyta; Magnoliopsida; Malpighiales; Euphorbiaceae. The record is from RNAcentral.